AGAGUUUGAUCAUGGCUCAGAUUGAACGCUGGCGGCAUGCCUUACACAUGCAAGUCGAACGGCAGCACAGGUGCUUGCACCGGGUGGCGAGUGGCGAACGGGUGAGUAACACAUCGGAACGUGUCCUGGAGUGGGGGAUAGGCCGGCGAAAGCCGGGUUAAUACCGCAUACGAUCUGAGGAUGAAAGCGGGGGACCUUCGGGCCUCGCGCUCAAGGAGCGGCCGAUGGCGGAUUAGCUAGUUGGUGGGGUAAAGGCCCACCAAGGCGACGAUCCGUAGCUGGUCUGAGAGGACGACCAGCCACACUGGGACUGAGACACGGCCCAGACUCCUACGGGAGGCAGCAGUGGGGAAUUUUGGACAAUGGGGGCAACCCUGAUCCAGCAAUGCCGCGUGUGUGAAGAAGGCCUUCGGGUUGUAAAGCACUUUUGUCCGGAAAGAAAACUUCGUCCCUAAUAUGGAUGGAGGAUGACGGUACCGGAAGAAUAAGCACCGGCUAACUACGUGCCAGCAGCCGCGGUAAUACGUAGGGUGCGAGCGUUAAUCGGAAUUACUGGGCGUAAAGCGUGCGCAGGCGGUGAUGUAAGACCGAUGUGAAAUCCCCGGGCUUAACCUGGGAACUGCAUUGGUGACUGCAUCGCUGGAGUAUGGCAGAGGGGGGUGGAAUUCCACGUGUAGCAGUGAAAUGCGUAGAGAUGUGGAGGAACACCGAUGGCGAAGGCAGCCCCCUGGGCCAAUACUGACGCUCAUGCACGAAAGCGUGGGGAGCAAACAGGAUUAGAUACCCUAGUAGUCC
Molecule: ribosomal RNA, 795 nt
Filed under: uncultured bacterium
Lineage: Bacteria
Description: bacterial SSU rRNA
Rfam family: Bacterial small subunit ribosomal RNA
Source: RNAcentral